RNAcentral lists this long non-coding RNA (586 nucleotides) under Citrus maxima (pomelo). RNAcentral describes it as "long non-coding RNA (CMAX_LNC001503)". The record is from RNAcentral. Lineage: Eukaryota; Viridiplantae; Streptophyta; Magnoliopsida; Sapindales; Rutaceae.
GAUAUGAAUUUUGGGAACAACACUAAUGGGAAUAGAUCUAGGAAGAAAUGGGACUUUUCCAAUCAUUUAUAAAAUCAUAGAUUGUUGUUGACCCAAAUUGUUAUACAAACCUUGACAUUGAUGAUAACAGACUACAUGUUGAGGAUAAAAUGAGAAAUUUUCAAAUCUUACAAGCUCUUGAAAGGUAGAUUAUUCGUGCGAGAUCAUGUUCAAAGGUGAAAGGAAUCAAGGACAGAGGGGUGCAAAUCGGAUUUCAGUUCAUUGCUGGGGUUUUAGUUGGGGUUCCAAGUCGACAAGUUGGAGAAUUGUUGUUGACCCAAAUUGUUAUACAAACCUUGACAUUGAUGAUAACAGACUACAUGUUCAUUUAUAAAAUCAUAGAUUGUUGUUGACCCAAAUUGUUAAACAAACCUUGACAUUGAUGAUAACAGACUAUAUGUUGAGGAUAAAAUGAGAAAUUUUCAAAUCUUACAAGCUCUUGAAAGGUAGAUUAUUCGUGCGAGAUCAUGCUCAAAGGUGAAAGGAAUCAAGGACAGAGGGGUGCAAAUCGGAUUUCAGUUCAUUGCUGGGGUUUUAGUUGGGGUUC